ACCAGCCUGGCCAGGGUGAAACCCCUGUCUCUACUAAAACUACAAAAAAAAAAAAAAAAAAAGAAAAAUUAGCCUGGCGUGGUGGUGGGCACUUAUAAUCCCAGCUACUCAGGAGGCUGAGGCAACAGAAUCACUUGGACCCAGGAGGCAGAGGUUGCAGUGAGCCGAGGUCAUGCCACUGCACUCCAGCCUGGGUGACAGAGCUAGACUCCAUCUCCAAAAAAAAAAAAAAAAAAAAGGUUACUUGAAAACAAAAUCACUCAUAUUAACUUAAAGGAAAAUAUACAGCAUCUCCUAGGUGAUCACUAUUAUGUUAAAUGGGUAAAUGCUUUAUGUUUUUUUCACAACUGAAGCCAAUGCUGAAUGAAGAGCGUCUGUUGUUCUACAUUUUUCAAGGACUGGAAUGUUGGUGUGAUCGAGACAAGAUGGCUGGCUCACUGACAGUUUAGUGAUGUAAAAUCACCCUAUGGGAUCCAAAAGAAUUUGGAAUUCAAAUGGAGUUGUUUUCAGAGAGAGAAGAGGCAGAGAAAAGGAUAUCAGAAUAUUUUGAGUACUUCAGAGCUGUCAGGAUUUCUGAAGAGUGAAACUUGAGGUUAAGCUGCCAGAAACAAUGCCCAAAGCCAUGCUUGAAAACUGUUCUAAUGAAGAAGCCCCUACUUGUGUCAGUCACCACACACUCAAUGGACAGUUUGCACCAUUGCUGUUCUCCUGAGGAGAACUUGAUCUUGCUUUCACCAUUACUGCCAAGGCUGCCAAACAGAGAAGGCUUGGAAGUCCAGGACCAAGGGGCCUCAUCUGGUGUGAGACUUACUGCUGCAUCGUAACAUGGAGGAUGCCUUAUGUGGUGAGAAGGGUGAAAGCAGGUGAGUGCAUAUGAGACAGAGAAAAAGGGGGUCCAACUCCUGAGAUAAUGAGCCCAUUCACCUGAUAACAACCUUAAUCCAUUAUGAGGACAGAGCCUUCAUAACCUAAUCACCUCUUAAAGACCCCACCUCUUAAUAC
Symphalangus syndactylus (siamang) is the source of this 1002-nucleotide long non-coding RNA. RefSeq lists it as uncharacterized. The record is from RefSeq and is a predicted model, not a curated record. NCBI's taxonomy places the organism in Eukaryota, Metazoa, Chordata, Mammalia, Primates, Hylobatidae.